This 269-nucleotide ribosomal RNA is filed under the name uncultured bacterium. RNAcentral's name for it is "partial 16S ribosomal RNA". It matches the Rfam family "Bacterial small subunit ribosomal RNA", at positions 524 to 794 of the family's 1533-position model. The record is from RNAcentral.
UACGUAGGGUGCUAGCGUUGUCCGGAAUCACUGGGUGUAAAGGGAGCGCAGGUGGAUUGGUAAGUCGGUGGUGAAAUUCUCAGGCUCAACCUGGGGACUGCCACCGAUACUGCUGAUCUUGAGUGCGGAAGAGGAAGGCGGAAUUCCUGGUGUAGCGGUGAAAUGCGUAGAUAUCAGGAAGAACACCGGUGGCGAAGGCGGCCUUCUGGUCCGCUACUGACACUCAUGCUCGAAAGCGUGGGGAGCAAACAGGAUUAGAAACCCGGAGU